CAGAAAACCACAACAUUCAUUACCUCAGGCCGGUCAGACAAUUCACGCGUGCGUAGCGAGUAACCACGCACGUGCUAGUCAGUCUUACAGUAACAACGACAUCCUCAAGAUUCCAAUUUUCUCAUGAAGUAACUAACUGUCUUCUCUUUUGAGAAUUUCCCAAGAUAAUAUGGAUCCUAAAGACGCAACAGUUAUGGAUCCUCCCACGUCUAUGCUCCUUUUGUCGAUCGUCCCACAGCUUCCCGGAUCUGGGAGUCGAUCGUGAUCGAGCAAGUCCAUGAGGUGUUGUUCGUGAUCCAUCUUCUUGAUUUAGAAGAGCCAUAAAGGAUUAUACUCUCAAGUAUUGGCUCAAAUCAUUAACUAGAGAUCAAUUCAAGCUUCAAGGCCGUACCGCUCAGCUUUCUAAUCUAAUCUAGCUAGAUAUUAAUGGACAGGCUAUACAUGCCAGUAUGGGUUUGCCACCUGCUCUUAGUGUCACACCACUGCUAAAGUUGGAAAAUUGGAAAUCAUGCUUCCGUAUGUCAGCAAUGUACAAACGGAGCCUGUAGUUGUGCAAAUCGAUAAACUCGAUCUUGUUCUUGAAGAGAAUCCUGAUGAUGAUGUGACAAAGGGCCCAAGCAGUGCUCAGUCUCCUACCGCCUCUGGAAAAAGUAACGGUUAUGGAUUUGCUGACAGGUUAUAUAUUUCAUUAUGUUGAUCAGAUUGCAGACGGAAUGACUUUACAAGUAAAAGUGGUCAAUCUUCUUCUUGAAACUGGUGGUGGUGCUCACCGUGAAGGAGGUGCAGCCUGGUAAGUUGCUUUUACUGCGUUCUUUGAUGCAUAAACCUUAUUAUGGUUCUUAACUAUCGGAGUUUAUUAUGAAUGCAUUGGAAUCUUUCUUAUGUAUGUCUAAUCUAAACUUUUGUACUUCGUAUCUUGGGCUGCUCAUCUGGCAUCUAUUACAAUAUGCAACCUUGUUCUGUACACCACUAAUGAGAGUUGGAAGGUUGUAAAUCUGAAAGAAGCAAGGGACUGACUUCUCUACUAACACCGGAUUUAUUUAUUUGUUUAAGAAACUUGAAUGGGAAGUUUUAUCAAAUUGAUCUUCCGCCACAUCCUGAUAUGUUCAUUGACGCUAACUUAGCCCGCUCUGAAGAAGAAAAUCUCAGAGAUGAUGAUGGAGCAAACCAAGUUUUCUUUGGCGGUGAACGCUUUUUAGAUGGAAUUUCUGGCCAAGCACAUGUAAAACAUUUGUUUCUGAUUUGUCUUUUUACUUGUAUAUAUCAUAUUGGAGUAAGGAUGCUUUAAGGAAUUAAUUUUUUUUGGUGUGUAAUUCGUUAGCCCUGAUGGUGGCCUCUUGUUCAGAGAACAGCAUUAAACAGUCCACUUGGGCUUGAAGUCCAGUUACACAUUUUAGAACAUUCUCUCUUAGUUUUUACAUAGCUGGUUGGUGGAUAUGGAUAACUAAGUCUACCCAUUAUUCUUGGGAAUAGACGCCGUCUUCUCCGCUUCUUAACUGGAAUGUAUGUAUGCCUAAACCGAGGAGAUGUGGAUCCAAAAUCUCAACAGUUUUUCUCACUCUUUAUGGUAUCUUUCAAGCAGUCUGCUGAAGCAGCAGGAAGGUCUCUUGUCUCUGUUCUUGUGGACCAUGUGUUUCUUUGCAUUAAAGAUGCUGAAUUCCAACUGGACCUACUGAUUCAAUCACUCCUCUUCUCUCGAGCCUGUGUUUUGGAUGGAGAAUCAGCUAACUAUUUGACUAAGAUCUUGAUUGGUGGAGUAUUUUUAAGGUUCAUCUUCAGGAAGAAGCUUGUUUAACGGAUUUCUUCUGUUUUGGCUGAUGGCAUAGUUGUGAUGUUUUACCAGAUAAAUCCGUUAACUCUCUUCUUUUCACCUUCAAGCAGUUAGAUGUUUCUGUUCCAUUAGACAUGAG
RNA transcript from Brassica oleracea var. oleracea, 1910 nucleotides. RefSeq lists it as uncharacterized. The record is from RefSeq and is a predicted model, not a curated record. Lineage: Eukaryota; Viridiplantae; Streptophyta; Magnoliopsida; Brassicales; Brassicaceae. The transcript is spliced from 10 exons.